Molecule: unclassified non-coding RNA, 811 nt
Filed under: Hevea brasiliensis (rubber tree)
Lineage: Eukaryota; Viridiplantae; Streptophyta; Magnoliopsida; Malpighiales; Euphorbiaceae
Source: RNAcentral
UUGGCACCACUGUAACUUUUGAACCUCUUCUUUCUUCUCUUUGGCUGUCAUUAAACCCUCGUCAAGUGUCCUUUUGAUCUGAGAAUUGAGGAGGGAGAGUGCAGACUGGGGGAAACGUACCUGUGUUUCAAUUCAUCAAGUUUCAACAAAAUUCUAGCGUGGUGGCUGCCCCUAGUGACUGCUUUAACUUCACUCCUCUUAGCUGUUCAUGGGUGGUUGGCUGUGAUUGAAGUUCAUGACCCACGUGUUGGCAAGACGCUUAUGAACAACAAGCCCCAAAACCACUCAAUUCUUGAAGUAUUGAUGCCCAAUUUGCUAUGGGUUGUUGGUGGCAUGAGAGGUAUUAGACUCUGAAGUUGGCACCUUGAUAGGCCAAAGUGGUGAUAAAGAGCAGUGGGUUUGUGCAGACUUCAAAAAGCUAUGUGCUUUGGAUGCGUGCGAAUUGAAUUUGCAAUCUUUUGGAGAGUUUCAUGUGUAGUCUGAUUGUCAUCGUUCUUGUUGGGAAUUUGUGAAGAUGGAGUUGGUGCUUUACUUUUCUUAAUUUCUUAUGCGGGAGAAUUCCCUUGUUUGCACUAAAAUGGUAAACUAUAAGUAAUUGAGGAUUUGAAAUAGAUUACUUGCUGUAGACUUGAAUGUGGCUGUCCAUUGUAAUUCUUCAAUAUAACAUUUUGGGGACAGCAUAGAUAGAUAUUUCAUAUCAGAACAAAGGGCUUCUCUGUGAAUUUGAAAGGCUUCUAGUUUUUCCCCUUCAAUACUUCAAGAUGCAAAGAGUUCGUAUGUCAUCUGAACAAGCACCUGUACAUAAGCUAGG